This 582-nucleotide ribosomal RNA is filed under the name Rhodobacter capsulatus. Its description in RNAcentral is "bacterial SSU rRNA". It matches the Rfam family "Bacterial small subunit ribosomal RNA", at positions 63 to 624 of the family's 1533-position model. Lineage: Bacteria; Pseudomonadati; Pseudomonadota; Alphaproteobacteria; Rhodobacterales. The record is from RNAcentral.
CGAGCGGAAACGAGAAAUCUGAACCUUCGGGGAACGAUAACGGCGUCGAGCGGCGGACGGGUGAGUAAUGCCUAGGAAAUUGCCCUGAUGUGGGGGAUAACCAUUGGAAACGAUGGCUAAUACCGCAUGAUGCCUACGGGCCAAAGAGGGGGACCUUCGCCCCUCUCGCGUCAGGAUAUGCCUAGGUGGGAUUAGCUAGUUGGUGAGGUAAGGGCUCACCAAGGCGACGAUCCCUAGCUCCUCUGAGAGGAUGAUCAGCCACACUGGAACUGAGACACGGUCCAGACUCCUACGGGAGGCAGCAGUGGGGAAUAUUGCACAAUGGGCGCAAGCCUGAUGCAGCCAUGCCGCGUGUGUGAAGAAGGCCUUCGGGUUGUAAAGCACUUUCAGUCGUGAGGAAGGUCCUGUCGUUAAUAGCGGCAUCAUUUGACGUUAGCGACAGAAGAAGCACCGGCUAACUCCGUGCCAGCAGCCGCGGUAAUACGGAGGGUGCGAGCGUUAAUCGGAAUUACUGGGCGUAAAGCGCAUGCAGGUGGAAUGUUAAGUCAGAUGUGAAAGGGCGGGGCUCAACCUCGGAACCGG